UUAAAAUACACUAUUUCAGCACCAACUUGUUCACUGGAUGAAUUCCGAUUACUAUUACCACUCCUAGUCAUACUUUCAGAACCUUGUUGCAUAGAAUCAGCGUAAUCGGCGUCGUCUGAGAGAUCGUGUAGGUCAAAUUCAAGCAUCGCCGGCGACGGCUAACUGGCUGGCUGGCUGCUGCUGUGGAUACGUUGAAGUAGACAGGUAGUAUUAGGUGAGUAAGGAAGAAGAUUCGAUAAACGGAGAAAAG
RNAcentral lists this unclassified non-coding RNA (250 nucleotides) under Hevea brasiliensis (rubber tree). The record is from RNAcentral. Lineage: Eukaryota; Viridiplantae; Streptophyta; Magnoliopsida; Malpighiales; Euphorbiaceae.